CCCUCACUUCCGGUACGCGCUGCUCCGCCAAUCGGAAGGCGGCGCGGCGCGGGGAGACUGGGAGGGGGUAGCCCCUAGGGCCAGGGGCGCGUGGGCAGGCGCCGUGACAGGAGGGCCCCGAUUGGCCGGCGGGUGUUGUGCCUCGGCAGGGGUCCCACGUGGCAGCCGCCGGAGGUGACGUUCCCCUAGGAGCCCCAGGGGGCGGGGCCAAGACCUGGCUCUGGUCGUUCCCCGCACUGGUUCCUGCCCGGCUCCCCCCGCCCGCCUUCGGGGCCGCGUGCGGCCGCCCCCCUGCAGGUGCGUGGUCCAGAAGCACCGGGGGGUUUCUGACCUGCACGCCAAAAAGAAUCAGGGCAGCGCCGCCCAAACCCGAGCCUGGCCAGCUACAGCCACACUGCGGCUGUCAACCCGGCUCCCUGCCGCAGCUGCACCUCCCAGAGGCUCCUAGACCACAAGCCCUUUUGAGGUAAAAAACACCUUCCUCGGUCCCUGGAAAAAUGGAGCAGGUCCUCAAGGAAUCCAUUUCUAAGCACUUGCAGAAAGUGAUUAGGAACAGUCAGCAUGGAUUCACCAAGGGCAAGUCAUGCCUGACCAACCUGACUGCCUUCUAUGGUGAGAUGAGUGGCUCUGUGAAUGCAGGGAAAGCAAUGGACGUGAUAUACCUUGACUUCAGCAAGGCUUUUGAUACAGUCUCUCACAACAUUCUCACAAGCAAGCUGAGGAAGUACAGGUUGGAUAAAUGGACUGUAACAUGUAUAGAAAGCUGUCUGGAUCAUCAGGCUCAAAGGGUAGUACUCAAUAGCUCAAUAUCUAGUUGGCAGCUGCUAUCAAGUGGAGUGCCCCAGGGGUUAAUCCUGGGGCCAGUUUUGUUUAGUAUCUUCCUCAACAACCUGGAAGAUGGGAUGGAGGGCACCCUCAGCAAAUCUGCAGAUGUCAUUAAGAUGGGGGAAAUAGUAGAUAUGCUGAAGGGUAGGGCUAGGAUUCAGAGACCUAGACAAAUUGAAGUGCUAGAUCAAAAGAAAUCUCAAUAAGGACAACUGCAGAGUCCUGCACUGAGGACUGAACAAUCCCAUGCACAAGUACAGGCUGGAAAUUGACUGGCUAAAAAGCAGCUCUGGAGAAAAUGACCUAGGGGUUACAGUGAACAAUAAACUGAAUAUGAGCCAA
This is a long non-coding RNA of Alligator mississippiensis (American alligator), 1167 nucleotides long. RefSeq lists it as uncharacterized. The record is from RefSeq and is a predicted model, not a curated record. The transcript has 2 exons. NCBI's taxonomy places the organism in Eukaryota, Metazoa, Chordata, Crocodylia, Alligatoridae.